Long non-coding RNA from Podarcis raffonei (Aeolian wall lizard), 533 nucleotides. RefSeq lists it as uncharacterized. The transcript has 3 exons. Lineage: Eukaryota; Metazoa; Chordata; Lepidosauria; Squamata; Lacertidae. The record is from RefSeq and is a predicted model, not a curated record.
GCUAACCGUAGCCCAGACGUCGCGCGCGCGGGUUCUGAGGAGGGGGAGUGGAGGGUCUCCCUGUUGUCUGAUAGGUCUUGAUUGACUGCCCGAGGGUAAGGGAGGAGCGUGCCCUGCCAUUCUCGUUUUUGGUGUGAAGUUGAACACAAUAUUGAGUGCCCAGGAAACUCUGGAAGCAUGUGCAUUUGAGGAGGGCACUGCCUGCUGAUGUUGCUAUGGCUGGAGUACUCUGUACCGUUGGAACAAAUGCAGGUUGGAGAUCAAAGAGAUCAGUAGAAAGGUUGGGCAUGCUGAAAGUUCCAAGAAGGUUGUCAGCUAUAAAUGGCAUACUUAAGCAAGAGGAAGUUUAUUAUGCUGUUUGAACAUCUGAACAUUAGACAACUUCAAGAAAUGCCUGCAUAUGCAUCCACUGACAUGAGAGAAAUAACUUGAAAUUUCACUUUACAACACAAAUUUGAUUUGAUGAGAUCCUCCAAGAAUCCUCCUCUCCAAGGUAGAUUUUGUUUACAACAAUAAAGCAAGUAUUAAACCCA